Molecule: ribosomal RNA, 447 nt
Filed under: uncultured bacterium
Lineage: Bacteria
Description: bacterial SSU rRNA
Rfam family: Bacterial small subunit ribosomal RNA
Source: RNAcentral
CCCAGACUCCUACGGGAGGCAGCAGUGGGGAAUAUUGCACAAUGGGGGAAACCCUGAUGCAGCAACGCCGCGUGAGUGAAGAAGUAUUUCGGUAUGUAAAGCUCUAUCAGCAGGGAAGAAAAUGACGGUACCUGAGUAAGAAGCCCCGGCUAACUACGUGCCAGCAGCCGCGGUAAUACGUAGGGGGCAAGCGUUAUCCGGAUUUACUGGGUGUAAAGGGAGCGUAGACGGCGAUGCAAGUCUGAAGUGAAAGCCCGGGGCUCAACCCCGGGACUGCUUUGGAAACUGUAUGGCUGGAGUACUGGAGAGGCAAGCGGAAUUCCUAGUGUAGCGGUGAAAUGCGUAGAUAUCAGGAGGAACACCAGUGGCGAAGGCGGCUUACUGGACUGUAACUGACGUUGAGGCUCGAAAGCGUGGGGAGCAAACAGGAUUAGAUACCCGAGUAAA